This 497-nucleotide ribosomal RNA is filed under the name uncultured bacterium. RNAcentral describes it as "partial 16S ribosomal RNA". It matches the Rfam family "Bacterial small subunit ribosomal RNA", at positions 28 to 507 of the family's 1533-position model. The record is from RNAcentral.
GAUGAACGCUGGCGGCGUGCCUAAUACAUGCAAGUCGAGCGAACAGACGAGGAGCUUGCUCCUCUGACGUUAGCGGCGGACGGGUGAGUAACACGUGGAUAACCUACCUAUAAGACUGGGAUAACUUCGGGAAACCGGAGCUAAUACCGGAUAAUAUAUUGAACCGCAUGGUUCAAUAGUGAAAGACGGGUUUGCUGUCACUUAUAGAUGGAUCCGCGCCGCAUUAGCUAGUUGGUAAGGUAACGGCUUACCAAGGCAACGAUGCGUAGCCGACCUGAGAGGGUGAUCGGCCACACUGGAACUGAGACACGGUCCAGACUCCUACGCGAGGAAGCAGUAGGGACUCUUCCGCCAUGGGCGAAAGCCUGACGGAGCAACGCCGCGUGAGUGAUGAAGGUCUUCGGAUCGUAAAACUCUGUUAUUAGGGAAGAACAACUGUGUAAGUAACUAUGCACGUCUUGACGGUACCUAAUCAGAAAGCCACGGCUAACUACGUG